CGUCCAGACUCCUACGGGAGGCAGCAGUGGGGAAUAUUGCACAAUGGGGGAAACCCUGAUGCAGCGACGCCGCGUGAGCGAAGAAGUAUUUCGGUAUGUAAAGCUCUAUCAGCAGGGAAGAAAUUGACGGUACCUGAGUAAGAAGCUCCGGCUAAAUACGCGCCAGCAGCCGCGGUAAUACGUAUGGAGCAAGCGUUAUCCGGAUUUACUGGGUGUAAAGGGGGCGUAGACGGCCAAGCAAGCCAGGGGUGAAAGCCCGGGGCCCAACCCCGGGACUGCCCUUGGAACUGCAUGGCUGGAGUGCGGGAGGGGCAGGCGGAAUUCCUGGUGUAGCGGUGAAAUGCGUAGAUAUCAGGAGGAACACCAGUGGCGAAGGCGGCUUGCUGGACGAUGACUGACGUUGAGGCUCGAAAGCGUGGGGAGCAAACAGGAUUAGAUACCCCCGUA
RNAcentral lists this ribosomal RNA (447 nucleotides) under uncultured bacterium. RNAcentral describes it as "partial 16S ribosomal RNA". It matches the Rfam family "Bacterial small subunit ribosomal RNA", at positions 328 to 792 of the family's 1533-position model. The record is from RNAcentral.